AUAUGGCGACAUAGAGNGGAACCCGAAAACCUGUCUCAGUUCGGAUUGGAGUCUGCAACCCGACUCCAUGAAGCUGGAUUCGCUAGUAAUCGCGCAUCAGCCACGGCGCGGUGAAUACGUUCCCGGGCCUUGUACACACCGCCCGUCACACCAUGAGAGUCGAUAACACCCGAAGCCUGUGAGCUAACCUUUUAGGAGGCAGCAGUCGAAGGUGGGGUUGGUGAUUGGGGUGAAGUCGUAACAAGGUACC
RNAcentral lists this ribosomal RNA (250 nucleotides) under uncultured bacterium. Its description in RNAcentral is "partial 16S ribosomal RNA". It matches the Rfam family "Bacterial small subunit ribosomal RNA", at positions 1252 to 1500 of the family's 1533-position model. The record is from RNAcentral.